UCACACCGCCCGCCCCGUCUCCAUAGCAACUAGAGCCGCUUGGCCUGGGUGAUAAGGCCCGCCCACCCAUCCUCGCGGGGGCCGGUUCCAGGUAGGAGCUGAACCUGCCUCGGCUCCCUGGACUUUGAGAAACGGAGGCUCGACCCGAGGUUUGGAUCCUCUAGUCAGCUUUCCCCCGCCCACAUUCUAAACCAACCACCACUUGCUCUGGGCCAGGGACUUGCACCCAUCCUCUCUAGCUUCACACACGCUUACGUCUCCCCAUUAGGCGAUGAGAAUACGGCUGAGAGAUUGACUUGCCAACUCCCCCCGCCCCUACCCCCGCACCUACCCAUAAAAGUCAAGCUGGAAUUCCUACCCAGGUCUAUCUCGCGUCAAAGCCAAUGAAUGCUCUUUUCCGUGGGUCCCCAAAGAUCCCACUUUAAUAUGGACUUGGGAUUUGGGGUCCCGUGCGCUACUGCGGAGCCACCAAAAUCCGGCUCGCUGAACUGGCCUGUGGACAAGGAACAGAGAGGCUGGGGGUUGGGGGAGGAGGUUGGCCUACGGGCUCUGUGCCCUGGGGCAGGGAGAAGCCAGGCUAGAGGCUGGCUGUGCAGACAGUAAAGGGCUAAACAGGUUACGCAAUGGGCAGGCUGUCCCCGUAGGUUGGGGGUCAGGUGGGCAUGAUUCUACUCUCCUUUUUCACCAAUUUCAUUUACAGUGUCCCUGCCUGCUUCACCCCGUUUCUGAGUCCCAUCCCGCUCUUUCUGCUUUCCAUCCCCUUUUUCUUUCCUUUCUUCAUCUUUCUUCCCUUGGCUCUGUUUCCCUUUCACCCUCUCCCCCUCCCGGCCCCACCCCCGCAGUUACUGUGGCAACAACUCAAUGCCAGAAAUAAAGGCAGGAUCCAGCUAGGUCACCAGUUUCCAAAACAGCAUCCCAGGGUGGAGAGGGGAAGGGUGGGCCAGAGCAGCCUGGCCCUACAGGGGAGGCCCUGAGGCUGGGGUCUGUGUCUGUGUUUGUGUUUGGGUAGCGCGGGACACCCACAGUCGCCCCUCAAAUCCCCCUACCCUGGGCUGGUGGUUCAUGGAAACAUCCUGGCCAAGCCUGCCUGCACCUUUUAAGACUGUUGGAAUCCCCACUCCCUCCUCUCA
This 1130-nucleotide long non-coding RNA is filed under the name Bos grunniens (domestic yak). RNAcentral describes it as "lncRNA (ENSBGRG00000007855.1)". Lineage: Eukaryota; Metazoa; Chordata; Mammalia; Artiodactyla; Bovidae. The record is from RNAcentral.